Molecule: ribosomal RNA, 484 nt
Filed under: uncultured bacterium
Lineage: Bacteria
Description: partial 16S ribosomal RNA
Rfam family: Bacterial small subunit ribosomal RNA
Source: RNAcentral
AUUGAACGCUGGCGGCAUGCUUUACACAUGCAAGUCGAACGGCAGCGCGGGCUUCGGCCUGGCGGCGAGUGGCGGACGGGUGAGUAAUGCAUCGGAACGUGCCCAGUAGUGGGGGAUAGCGCGGCGAAAGGCGGGUUAAUACCGCAUACGACCUGAGGGUGAAAGCGGGGGACCGAAAGGCCUCACGCUAUCGGAGGGGCCGAGGUCGGAUUAGCUAGUUGGUGGGGUAAAGGCCUACCAAGGCGACGAUCCGUAGCUGGUCUGAGAGGACGACCAGCCACACUGGAACUGAGACACGGCCCAGACUCCUACGGGAGGCAGCAGUGGGGAAUUUUGGACAAUGGGGGCAAGCCUGAUCCAGCCAUGCCGCGUGCGUGAAGAAGGCCUUCGGGUUGUAAACCGCUUUUGUUCGGGAAGAAAUCCUCUGGGCUAAUACCCCGGGGUGUUGACGGUACCGGAAGAAUAAGCACCGGCUAACUACGUG